RNAcentral lists this long non-coding RNA (683 nucleotides) under Anas platyrhynchos platyrhynchos (common mallard). Its description in RNAcentral is "lncRNA (ENSAPLG00000018844.1)". The record is from RNAcentral. Lineage: Eukaryota; Metazoa; Chordata; Aves; Anseriformes; Anatidae.
UGAAAAUUGUGUUGGUAAUGAAAAAUGUUAACUGCUGCUCAUAUAAAUGAAAAAAAAAAAAGACACUUUGUAUUUUGCAAUGUGUCAUAUAGGAGAAAAUGUUCUUACAUUAAGCAUUCGCUGAUAAGUAGGCAUGUACUGCCUUUCUUCUGAUAACAGGUUUUCCUCAAAUGCUGAUUCAGGUUUGCUAAGUCUUUAGCGCAGCGCUGCAGGCAAUGAAAUUACUUUGUCUUAUAACAAAUUAUUCAGAAACUUUGUAUUAGAUGGAGGACAGCCAAGUCUCUACUCUGGGCUACAAAUAAUCCAGACAGAAGCAGUAGUCGUAUGAGCCUUUCAUAUAUUACAGCUGCCAGGAAAUCAAAUACCUUUUCUUAGCAUUAAUGUCUGACUACAAGAAACUUCUCUGUGCGACACCAGAGGUGCAUUUUGGUGCUGGGAACACCCAGGCCUACGUGGGACACAGGAGAGUCUUCCUGCAGCCCCUGGUGAAGGCGCUGUCUUGCUCUCCUCCUGGUUCGGGUGCAGCAGGCAUUUCUGGUCAAGCGUUUGAGCGCUACAGAUCUUUGUUCAGCUCCAAUAAUUGGCUUAAACAGUGUUUAAGCUCUUGGAUUUGGUUUCCUUGGGGAAAAACUGAAUUCCUGUUAGAUGAAAUGUUAGUGGCAAAAGUGUUCCAAAGAUUAUGA